GAUGAAGAACGUAGCGAAAUGCGAUAAGUAGUGUGAAUUGCAGACUAGAGUGAAUCAUCGAAUUUUUGAACGCAUAUUGCGCUCUCUGGUAAUUCCGGGGAGCAUGCUUGGCUGAGGGCCUGUAAAACAAAUCUCCGGAGGUAACCUUCUGGUGGUCGAUGGGUGUCAAUCCGAUGAAGACUCCUUUUUGGGGGAACGAAUCGGUCACCUGAAAUAAUUGGCUCCGCUGGAUCGCGGAUCGUGCAGUAAGGCAUAAUGGAAGAGCGGUUACACGCCUUCAAAAACGUCACACUUACACGAAAUGCGACAGAAGCGAGAAGCCAUGUUUUGGCAUUUUUUGCCAAAUGCGUCCAUGGCGCAAACAUUGAUUUCCUGGACUCAGAUCAAGCAAGACCACCCGCUGAACUUAAGCAUAUCAAUAAGCGGAGGA
This 430-nucleotide unclassified non-coding RNA is filed under the name soil metagenome. RNAcentral's name for it is "partial contains 5.8S ribosomal RNA, internal transcribed spacer 2, and large subunit ribosomal RNA". The stretch from base 1 to 121 matches the Rfam family "5.8S ribosomal RNA", at positions 35 to 154 of the family's 154-position model. The record is from RNAcentral.